RNAcentral lists this ribosomal RNA (449 nucleotides) under uncultured bacterium. Its description in RNAcentral is "partial 16S ribosomal RNA". It matches the Rfam family "Bacterial small subunit ribosomal RNA", at positions 29 to 523 of the family's 1533-position model. The record is from RNAcentral.
AACGAACGCUGGCGGCAUGCCUAAUACAUGCAAGUCGAACGAUCUCUUCGGAGGUAGUGGCGCACGGGUGCGUAACGCGUGGGAAUCUGCCCUUGGGUUCGGAAUAACGUCGGGAAACUGACGCUAAUACCGGAUGAUGACGUAAGUCCAAAGAUUUAUCGCCCAGGGAUGGGCCCGCGUAGGAUUAGCUAGUUGGUGGGGUAAAGGCCUACCAAGGCGACGAUCCUUAGCUGGUCUGAGAGGAUGAUCAGCCACACUGGGACUGAGACACGGCCCAGACUCCUACGGGAGGCAGCAGUAAGGAAUAUUGGACAAUGGGGGCAACCCUGAUCCAGCAAUGCCGCGUGAGUGAUGAAGGCCUUAGGGUUGUAAAGCUCUUUUACCCGGGAUGAUAAUGACAGUACCGGGAGAAUAAGCCCCGGCUAACUCCGUGCCAGCAGCCGCCGUAA